This 1065-nucleotide ribosomal RNA is filed under the name Triticum aestivum (bread wheat). Its description in RNAcentral is "partial small subunit ribosomal RNA". The record is from RNAcentral. Lineage: Eukaryota; Viridiplantae; Streptophyta; Magnoliopsida; Poales; Poaceae.
AUGAAUUCACAGCUGGUUGUCUUCACAGACAAGGAAGCUCCUUCCUCGCCUUGGAGUGACAUUUGUGAGGCAAACAGAACACUCAGAAAGUUCAAGCGCGUCAAGGUACUGGAUUUGACGGAUACCCACAUAACUCGGCUGCCUGAUAGUGUCGGUGAGCUCAAACAUCUGCGAUACCUAGGUUUUCCUAACACCGUGGAGCAGCCUCGUGCUGAUGGCAAUAAGAUCACCAAGCUACUACUCCUUGAGACAGUGUACGUCAGCAAGCCUCGGUCGCCAGCGGCUGAUAUGGACAUGGAGAUGGACAUGGAGGGCAUCGCCAAGAUUGGUGGCAUUGGAAAGUUAGAGAAACUGCAAGGGUCGCUCGAAUUUCAUGUCCACAAUAAAAACCAUAAAAAUGGACAUACCAUGUUGGAGCUUGGGAAGAUGAACUCUAUUAGCAGGACCCUGAGCAUAAAGGGCGUUCAAGCCGUCCAAACCAAGAAAGAAGCGCAGGAGGCUCGACUUGCAAUAAAAGCAUCUCUCCAAGUCCUCAAGCUUGAUUGGGAGAACGAUGCAGAUGAUCCAUGUAAAGGUAAAGGUAAUGGUUGCCUUGUUGUUCUUGGAGGCCUCCAACCUGAUGCCAAUCUCCGUGAGCUGCAUAUCACGAGGUACCCUGGGAAGAAGCUGCCUGCCUGGCUGUGGCAGAUGACAAACCUGACCAGCCUGUACCUUACCAGCUGCACCUGCUGCACAUGCCAACCAAGAGUACCGUCCUCUUCAGUCAACAGUGGCCAACAGGGCUCUGCACCGUGGCCGUCCCCUGUCCAUCAAGCAAGAGUACCGCCUUCUUCCGUCAACAGUGGCCAACAGGGCUUUGCACCGCGGCCGCCCCCUGUCCAGCAACCAAGAGUACUGCCCUCUUCCCUCAACAGUGGCCAGCAAGCCUUUGCACCGCGGCCACAAUCACAAUAUGCUGAAAUAUGUAUUUUUUUUUUAUCAAAUGUGCUUGCCUCUGUCCCCUAUGCCGAAAUCCUGGCUGUGCCCCUGAGCUCCACUGCCUCUACAAGAUCCAUAUUAUGCUGA